Molecule: ribosomal RNA, 2787 nt
Filed under: Escherichia coli
Lineage: Bacteria; Pseudomonadati; Pseudomonadota; Gammaproteobacteria; Enterobacterales; Enterobacteriaceae
Description: bacterial LSU rRNA
Rfam family: Bacterial large subunit ribosomal RNA
Source: RNAcentral
AGCGUACACGGUGGAUGCCCUGGCAGUCAGAGGCGAUGAAGGACGUGCUAAUCUGCGAUAAGCGUCGGUAAGGUGAUAUGAACCGUUAUAACCGGCGAUUUCCGAAUGGGGAAACCCAGUGUGUUUCGACACACUAUCAUUAACUGAAUCCAUAGGUUAAUGAGGCGAACCGGGGGAACUGAAACAUCUAAGUACCCCGAGGAAAAGAAAUCAACCGAGAUUCCCCCAGUAGCGGCGAGCGAACGGGGAGCAGCCCAGAGCCUGAAUCAGUGUGUGUGUUAGUGGAAGCGUCUGGAAAGGCGCGCGAUACAGGGUGACAGCCCCGUACACAAAAAUGCACAUGCUGUGAGCUCGAUGAGUAGGGCGGGACACGUGGUAUCCUGUCUGAAUAUGGGGGGACCAUCCUCCAAGGCUAAAUACUCCUGACUGACCGAUAGUGAACCAGUACCGUGAGGGAAAGGCGAAAAGAACCCCGGCGAGGGGAGUGAAAAAGAACCUGAAACCGUGUACGUACAAGCAGUGGGAGCACGCUUAGGCGUGUGACUGCGUACCUUUUGUAUAAUGGGUCAGCGACUUAUAUUCUGUAGCAAGGUUAACCGAAUAGGGGAGCCGAAGGGAAACCGAGUCUUAACUGGGCGUUAAGUUGCAGGGUAUAGACCCGAAACCCGGUGAUCUAGCCAUGGGCAGGUUGAAGGUUGGGUAACACUAACUGGAGGACCGAACCGACUAAUGUUGAAAAAUUAGCGGAUGACUUGUGGCUGGGGGUGAAAGGCCAAUCAAACCGGGAGAUAGCUGGUUCUCCCCGAAAGCUAUUUAGGUAGCGCCUCGUGAAUUCAUCUCCGGGGGUAGAGCACUGUUUCGGCAAGGGGGUCAUCCCGACUUACCAACCCGAUGCAAACUGCGAAUACCGGAGAAUGUUAUCACGGGAGACACACGGCGGGUGCUAACGUCCGUCGUGAAGAGGGAAACAACCCAGACCGCCAGCUAAGGUCCCAAAGUCAUGGUUAAGUGGGAAACGAUGUGGGAAGGCCCAGACAGCCAGGAUGUUGGCUUAGAAGCAGCCAUCAUUUAAAGAAAGCGUAAUAGCUCACUGGUCGAGUCGGCCUGCGCGGAAGAUGUAACGGGGCUAAACCAUGCACCGAAGCUGCGGCAGCGACGCUGAUGCGUUGUUGGGUAGGGGAGCGUUCUGUAAGCCUGCGAAGGUGUGCUGUGAGGCAUGCUGGAGGUAUCAGAAGUGCGAAUGCUGACAUAAGUAACGAUAAAGCGGGUGAAAAGCCCGCUCGCCGGAAGACCAAGGGUUCCUGUCCAACGUUAAUCGGGGCAGGGUGAGUCGACCCCUAAGGCGAGGCCGAAAGGCGUAGUCGAUGGGAAACAGGUUAAUAUUCCUGUACUUGGUGUUACUGCGAAGGGGGGACGGAGAAGGCUAUGUUGGCCGGGCGACGGUUGUCCCGGUUUAAGCGUGUAGGCUGGUUUUCCAGGCAAAUCCGGAAAAUCAAGGCUGAGGCGUGAUGACGAGGCACUACGGUGCUGAAGCAACAAAUGCCCUGCUUCCAGGAAAAGCCUCUAAGCAUCAGGUAACAUCAAAUCGUACCCCAAACCGACACAGGUGGUCAGGUAGAGAAUACCAAGGCGCUUGAGAGAACUCGGGUGAAGGAACUAGGCAAAAUGGUGCCGUAACUUCGGGAGAAGGCACGCUGAUAUGUAGGUGAAGUCCCUCGCGGAUGGAGCUGAAAUCAGUCGAAGAUACCAGCUGGCUGCAACUGUUUAUUAAAAACACAGCACUGUGCAAACACGAAAGUGGACGUAUACGGUGUGACGCCUGCCCGGUGCCGGAAGGUUAAUUGAUGGGGUCAGCGCAAGCGAAGCUCUUGAUCGAAGCCCCGGUAAACGGCGGCCGUAACUAUAACGGUCCUAAGGUAGCGAAAUUCCUUGUCGGGUAAGUUCCGACCUGCACGAAUGGCGUAAUGAUGGCCAGGCUGUCUCCACCCGAGACUCAGUGAAAUUGAACUCGCUGUGAAGAUGCAGUGUACCCGCGGCAAGACGGAAAGACCCCGUGAACCUUUACUAUAGCUUGACACUGAACAUUGAGCCUUGAUGUGUAGGAUAGGUGGGAGGCUUUGAAGUGUGGACGCCAGUCUGCAUGGAGCCGACCUUGAAAUACCACCCUUUAAUGUUUGAUGUUCUAACGUUGACCCGUAAUCCGGGUUGCGGACAGUGUCUGGUGGGUAGUUUGACUGGGGCGGUCUCCUCCUAAAGAGUAACGGAGGAGCACGAAGGUUGGCUAAUCCUGGUCGGACAUCAGGAGGUUAGUGCAAUGGCAUAAGCCAGCUUGACUGCGAGCGUGACGGCGCGAGCAGGUGCGAAAGCAGGUCAUAGUGAUCCGGUGGUUCUGAAUGGAAGGGCCAUCGCUCAACGGAUAAAAGGUACUCCGGGGAUAACAGGCUGAUACCGCCCAAGAGUUCAUAUCGACGGCGGUGUUUGGCACCUCGAUGUCGGCUCAUCACAUCCUGGGGCUGAAGUAGGUCCCAAGGGUAUGGCUGUUCGCCAUUUAAAGUGGUACGCGAGCUGGGUUUAGAACGUCGUGAGACAGUUCGGUCCCUAUCUGCCGUGGGCGCUGGAGAACUGAGGGGGGCUGCUCCUAGUACGAGAGGACCGGAGUGGACGCAUCACUGGUGUUCGGGUUGUCAUGCCAAUGGCACUGCCCGGUAGCUAAAUGCGGAAGAGAUAAGUGCUGAAAGCAUCUAAGCACGAAACUUGCCCCGAGAUGAGUUCUCCCUGACUCCUUGA